UGAUUGGUGCACGUGGUGAUAGAUCAGGACCAUUUAAUCAGUGGGCCACCUCUUUGAUGAGCCAUAUUGCAAAAAUCAAGCUCCUUGGCAGCUCGUAGCUGCCUGAUCCAUCUAUCUUUGGACAGGUGGUGGUAGAAAAUAGUUUAGAGCAGUUGUCUAGAACUACUUGAUUAAUGCACAAGCAUUGGCGCCAUCCAUGAGGUUGUUGGUAAUCAAACUAGACGAACACAAAAUUCCAUAGAGAGGCUUAAGGGUUAUUGUUGCAAUGCAUUAGGUCGAUAUACCUAUACAGCAAAGCUAUCUGUGGUAUGGUUCAAGCAUUGGAGACAAUGAUCCACAGGUUUCUGGCACAUACAUAUUUUGACUAGAUGGCGCUCCUCAAACAGUUGCUUCAAGAUCGAUAAUCCAACUGGUUUCCAGUUUCUUGUUCAUCAUAAAUUACUGAAUAAUGACUUGAGAAAAUUGAAACCAUUAAAAAGCAGUGUUGGUUAGCUUGUUUGUGGUUUUAAGGUUACUAAACCUUGAAUGUAAUAUCAUUUGACUGUAGGUACCCUUGAAGAUUGUGUGAGGACCUCUAGUUGAUGAAGUUCAUCAACAAUUCAAUCUGUGGAUUAAUCAGCUUUCUUUGAUACAUUGGUCUUGUUGAAUUGUGUUGGUAAGAUAUCAACAGCGAUAUAGAACUGAGAGAUGUUUACUUUAGCUACCCUACAAGACUUGACAUUCAUGUAUUUUCUGGGUCCUCAUUGCAUGUUCCAAGCGGCAUAACUAUGGAUCUAGUUGGAGAGAGCGGCAGUGGGAAGUCGACAGUGAUCAGCCUGUUGGAGAGGUUCUAUGACCCCUAAGCUGGUGAAGUGCUCAUAGAUGGCAUCAACUUGAAGAAGCUGCAGCUUGUUAGCCAAGAGCUCAUCUUAUUCACAACUACCAUAAAGGAGAAUAUCGCAUAUGGUAAGGCGGGUGCUACAGUGGAAGAAAUUAGAAUAGUAACUGAGAUUACUAAUGCUGCAAGGUUUAUAGACAAGAUGUCACAGGUCACUUGCUUGUACUUUUUUUUGGUAAAUUCAUACUACUCUCUCAAAGAUGUUGUCGGUGAAAGGCUAGGAAAGGAAGACAUUUGUAGUUUUUUUUUUGAUAAAUUAAUUGUUUUGUUGAUAUUAUGCUGA
Magnolia sinica is the source of this 1160-nucleotide long non-coding RNA. RefSeq lists it as uncharacterized. The record is from RefSeq and is a predicted model, not a curated record. The transcript has 3 exons. Lineage: Eukaryota; Viridiplantae; Streptophyta; Magnoliopsida; Magnoliales; Magnoliaceae.